CCCUGAUGGUGACCAAUCUGCACUUUGGCUGUCCACACUGCUCAAUAGAAAGUUUGAACUUCCAGCUCUUGGUAGUGCAGACACAGCAACAACUUUACUCAUGUGUACACAGUAUCGGGGAUGUGUGAGAAAUAUGUUUACCCCUGACCUCUUGUCAGUGUUUAUAAGACACAUUACUCCACCCUAUCUCUGUCUGUUGGGCUAAUACAACAUGGAAGAAGCCAGUAACCAAAAAAUAAUACUGGCAAAUAAAAACACAAUGUGGUGCCAAAAAGCUUCCUAUCAAGAGACAUGCUGAGGAGAAGGGCUCUCCAGAUUCUAGCAAGAAGCAAGAGGUGUGGAGCUACUUUGAGCCCGGAUAAGGCUGGAAAAAGUUAUUUAUCUGUGCAAAUUAUUCCCCGUGUCACCCAGUCUGAUGGGUGUUUGGACAACUGUUAACAUUUCUGGAUCUCAGAAUGCUGUGGGAGAACGGAGAUGUGCUAUUCAUUAGAGAUGCACUGAACAAACAAGGCUGCAUCCCUGGCCCAGAAAUGCUUCAAAGAGCACCAAGUCUGUUGGGAAUGUUUCAGAAAUGUAGAGCAGUGUUGACUGCUUAGCUUUGCAUUUCAACAAGCACACACACACACACACACACACACACACAAACACGCACGUUCCCAAGCUGGCUGCAGAUCAUUCAGUGAGUCUACAAGCCCGUGCACUCCGUACGGAUGCGGGAUGCUUCUCUUCCUCUUUAAGGUGAUAUAUUGAUGUAUGCUUUCAGAUGUUUUUUUUCUCAUCUUCAGAGUUCAUAUAAUAUGAUGUACUACACUGUCUUUUCUAAGCUACCAUGCAUAUAUUAUCAGAUUCACUUGAAGGUACUGUAUAUGCAGGUAUAGGAAAAAACAGCUGGUCCCACUCUGUAACAAACUGCUGUAAAUGUUGGUGUUGAUUUAAAAAAAAAAUUAAAAAUACCUCGC
Molecule: long non-coding RNA, 959 nt
Filed under: Astyanax mexicanus (Mexican tetra)
Lineage: Eukaryota; Metazoa; Chordata; Actinopteri; Characiformes; Acestrorhamphidae
Description: lncRNA (ENSAMXG00005018505.1)
Source: RNAcentral